Molecule: long non-coding RNA, 502 nt
Organism: Brassica napus (rape)
Lineage: Eukaryota; Viridiplantae; Streptophyta; Magnoliopsida; Brassicales; Brassicaceae
Exons: 2
Source: RefSeq, a predicted model, not a curated record
CAUUGGAUUAUUAGAUUCAUUUUUUUUUUGGAUUAGAACACAUCUCGAUGAUUGUUGUGUCUCGUGCUUUCUUUCCUGCUGCUUUGUAAAGCGCCAUGGCAUUCAUUGAGUCGUUUAAACCCAGUUGUUCUAUGAUGAUGGGUAAAGUAAACCAAGGCUAGCUGAAUACCUCGGGGAGUUGAAACAGAAGCAAGAAACCAACGACAGAUACAUGGCUGCUCUAAAAGGAGAGACUCUUACCAGGAAGCCUUACCAAAGAAUUCAACCUGCGCCAAAGCCAAAUGACACGCUCACAACCAAACCUCAGUAAUAAUGAUGACUUCUUAGAAGGAGCUAUUGUAACGGAUGCCUCUCACUCUCGAAUCUUUCUUCGAUGCAAAGAUAGCAUGUUUCUUCUUCUUGAAUCUGGCAUGCUUUGUUGUUUUUGAACUGGUGCAAGAUUCAGUCACUUCAAACAUUUUUUUUGUGACAGUGAAUAAAAAUGUAAAACCCAUGUUUUGUA